UUUACUAAACCUUGGCCCUGACCGCUGCAGUUUCCAGCCGUAAGAGAUGCAUCAGGUACUAUGUUUUUGUAGAGUCUAGAGAGUUUUAUUUCAGUCCAGAUUCUGAGACAAUGAUCAUCGCUGUAUCAUUUCACAUUUUCACCUCUGUUAAUCUGUUACGAUACAUUAUACUUCUGAUUGCUCAGUACGUCAGUAGUCAGUACGCUGAAUCUUUGGUCCUUCUCUGAUUGCCGCC
RNAcentral lists this long non-coding RNA (235 nucleotides) under Setaria italica (foxtail millet). RNAcentral describes it as "long non-coding RNA (SITA_LNC003247)". The record is from RNAcentral. Lineage: Eukaryota; Viridiplantae; Streptophyta; Magnoliopsida; Poales; Poaceae.